GUAAGUUCCGACCUGCACGAAUGGUGCAACGAUCUGGGCACUGUCUCAACCAUGAUCUCGGUGAAAUUGUAGUAUCGGUGAAGAUGCCGGUUACCCGCAGUGGGACGAAAAGACCCCGUGCACCUUUACUAUAGCUUCGUAUUGACCUUGGUCAAACAAUGUGUAGGAUAGCUGGGAGGCUUUGAAUCUGCGUCGCCAGGCGUGGAGGAGCCGUUGUUGAAAUACCAGCCUUUGUUUGAUCGGGGCCUAACCCCUAACGGGGGACAGUGCGUGGUGGGUAGUUUGACUGGGGUGGUCGCCUCCAAAAGAGUAACGGAGGCUUCUAAAGGUGCCCUCAAUACGGUUGGCAAUCGUGUGCAGAGUGCAAUGGCACAAGGGCGCUUGACUGUGAGACAUACAGGUCGAACAGGUAGGAAACUAGAGCAUAGUGAUCCGGUGGUUCCGCAUGGAAGGGCCAUCGCUCAAAGGAUAAAAGGUACGCCGGGGAUAACAGGCUGAUCUCCCCCAAGAG
This 511-nucleotide ribosomal RNA is filed under the name Vitrella brassicaformis. RNAcentral's name for it is "partial Bacterial large subunit ribosomal RNA". It matches the Rfam family "Bacterial large subunit ribosomal RNA", at positions 1976 to 2498 of the family's 2925-position model. Lineage: Eukaryota; Vitrellaceae. The record is from RNAcentral.